UGAGGCAGGAGAAUUGCUUGAACCCAGGAAGUGGAGGUUGCAGUGAGGCAAGAUCGUGCCACUGCACUCCAGCCUGGGUGACAGAGCGAGACUCCGUCUC
Molecule: microRNA precursor, 100 nt
Filed under: Pan troglodytes (chimpanzee)
Lineage: Eukaryota; Metazoa; Chordata; Mammalia; Primates; Hominidae
Description: miRNA (ENSPTRG00000042342.2)
Source: RNAcentral